Molecule: long non-coding RNA, 265 nt
Organism: Haplochromis burtoni (Burton's mouthbrooder)
Lineage: Eukaryota; Metazoa; Chordata; Actinopteri; Cichliformes; Cichlidae
Exons: 3
Source: RefSeq, a predicted model, not a curated record
AACUCAUAGUCAAAACCCACUGAAAGCCAACAAAAUAUAACAAUAUGAGCUUUCAUGCUGACCUGUAUCAAAAAAUAAUGCCUAGACUAUUGCUUAGUAAUGUAACCUUUCUCUUAGACUUGCAGGAAAAACUGAACGAGACAGAAAGAUGUUCAGAUGAUAAGCAGAAAAUUACAGAUCUGCAGCAAAGCCUGAAUGACAAAAUCAAGGAGCUGCAGUCCAAAUCGAACUCUGUUACUUCACUUGCUCUACAAAUUUCUACAUU